AACGAACGCUGGCGGCACGCUUAACACAUGCAAGUCGAACGAAGUAUUUAUACUUAGUGGCGGACGGGUGAGUAACGCGUAGGGACCUGCCCAUGGGUGGGGGACGACUUCGGGAAACUGAAGCUAAUACCCCAUAAGUCGGAAACGAGAAAGGCUUCGGCCGCCGAUGGAUGGACCUGCGUAAGAUUAGGUAGUUGGUGAGGUAAUGGCUCACCAAGCCGAUGAUCUUUAGCUGGUUUGAGAGGAUGAUCAGCCACACUGGGACUGAGACACGGCCCAG
RNAcentral lists this ribosomal RNA (280 nucleotides) under uncultured bacterium. RNAcentral describes it as "partial 16S ribosomal RNA". It matches the Rfam family "Bacterial small subunit ribosomal RNA", at positions 29 to 334 of the family's 1533-position model. The record is from RNAcentral.